UACGAAGGGGGCUAGCGUUGCUCGGAAUCACUGGGCGUAAAGCGCACGUAGGCGGCUUGUUAAGUCAGGGGUGAAAUCCUGGAGCUCAACUCCAGAACUGCCUUUGAUACUGGAGAUCUUGAGUCGGGAGAGGUGAGUGGAACUGCGAGUGUAGAGGUGAAAUUCGUAGAUAUUCGCAAGAACACCAGUGGCGAAGGCGGCUCACUGGCCCGGACUGACGCUGAGGUGAAGAACGGAGGGCAAACAGGG
RNAcentral lists this ribosomal RNA (249 nucleotides) under uncultured bacterium. RNAcentral describes it as "partial 16S ribosomal RNA". It matches the Rfam family "Bacterial small subunit ribosomal RNA", at positions 524 to 777 of the family's 1533-position model. The record is from RNAcentral.